Non-coding RNA from Rattus norvegicus (Norway rat), 975 nucleotides. NCBI's taxonomy places the organism in Eukaryota, Metazoa, Chordata, Mammalia, Rodentia, Muridae. The record is from RefSeq and is a predicted model, not a curated record.
AGCGACCCGCGGCCACCUCGGCCUUUUCAGGCGUCCUAGGUACUCCGCCUCUGAGGCGGCGGAGCGCGGGUCAAAGGUCUUGCAACGAGGCGACUACGCCUCCCCCGCGUCUCCAAGGCUACGCAGAGCGGCACUUCCGCUUCCUCCUGGGUGUCUGGGAGGAAGUUCUCUGUGCGCAGGUCCCCUGGCCAAGCCAGAGCAUGCUGAGUCGCCCAGCACCGUCCUGUGCCUAGGGACAAGCUUGAGCACAGAUGGAACCACUAAGAAAACCACAGUCAUCAGUAAUAUUCAGAGGGAUCCAUCCCAAACCACUUCCACACCUCAGAGAAAAUUGAGGAAGAAGGGCUGGAAAGAUUGUGAGAGGUACAGAAUCAGGAAGUUUGGGGGUGAGAUUCUGUCUCCUAGUAAUGUCAAAAGCUACACCUAUAAAUCUCACCAACGUGACUGCCCAAGAAGGAACAAGGAAUGCAUCAAUGGAUAUGGUGAAGUGGGAUGAGAAGAGCCAGUUAGGCCCCCACUCCACAUAGAGAACUACAGGCAUCUGAGGAGAGUUGGGAACAAGAGAGGUGGUUCUUCCCAAGGAAGGGCACGUGAGUUGGUUGUCCAGUAGCAAAUAGCCCUGAAAACAUACAUACAAGUAACAUGGGCUAAAGAGGAUAUAGUUAAUAAUAUAUGUGUAUAUUAUAUAUGUCUGCAAUAACAAUUCAUAAAAAAGCCAUGAAUUGAUGGAGAGCAGAGAAGAUUACAUUAGAAGGGUUUUGAGGGAGGAAAGAAAAGGGAGAAAUGUAAUUAUUGCUAGGCUGCCCAGGUCGGGGAGACUAAGUCUUUGCACAUCAAAGGUUAAGUGAAAAGACUUUUAUGGGAUGUCCAGGGGACUCCAGUUUAAGAGUAGUGCAAACGAAGCACUUCUCAGAAAAAGCAAACAAGACAUGAGGUAGCAUUUAUAGUUAUCGUAAGCAAAUAUAAGUGCAUUAA